This 688-nucleotide ribosomal RNA is filed under the name uncultured bacterium. Its description in RNAcentral is "bacterial SSU rRNA". It matches the Rfam family "Bacterial small subunit ribosomal RNA", at positions 1 to 742 of the family's 1533-position model. The record is from RNAcentral.
UUGAGAGUUUGAUCCUGGCUCAGAACGAACGCUGGCGGCAGGCUUAACACAUGCAAGUCGAACGCCCCGCAAGGGGAGUGGCAGACGGGUGAGUAACGCGUGGGAACAUACCCUUUCCUGCGGAAUAGCUCCGGGAAACUGGAAUUAAUACCGCAUACGCCCUACGGGGGAAAGAUUUAUCGGGGAAGGAUUGGCCCGCGUUGGAUUAGCUAGUUGGUGGGGUAAAGGCCUACCAAGGCGACGAUCCAUAGCUGGUCUGAGAGGAUGAUCAGCCACAUUGGGACUGAGACACGGCCCAAACUCCUACGGGAGGCAGCAGUGGGGAAUAUUGGACAAUGGGCGCAAGCCUGAUCCAGCCAUGCCGCGUGAGUGAUGAAGGCCUUAGGGUUGUAAAGCUCUUUCACCGGAGAAGAUAAUGACGGUAUCCGGAGAAGAAGCCCCGGCUAACUUCGUGCCAGCAGCCGCGGUAAUACGAAGGGGGCUAGCGUUGUUCGGAAUUACUGGGCGUAAAGCGCACGUAGGCGGAUAUUUAAGUCAGGGGUGAAAUCCCAGAGCUCAACUCUGGAACUGCCUUUGAUACUGGGUAUCUUGAGUAUGGAAGAGGUAAGUGGAAUUCCGAGUGUAGAGGUGAAAUUCGUAGAUAUUCGGAGGAACACCAGUGGCGAAGGCGGCUUACUGGUCCAUACUG